Molecule: non-coding RNA, 564 nt
Organism: Camelina sativa (false flax)
Lineage: Eukaryota; Viridiplantae; Streptophyta; Magnoliopsida; Brassicales; Brassicaceae
Source: RefSeq, a predicted model, not a curated record
UCUUGUUCUUACAAAUUAAAGUAUUGAGUUUUGUAAGAUUCUUUUUAGCUAGUUAUCAAAAAGAGCUUGAGUUUUGAAGUCUAUAAAUUAAAAGGACUGUGUCUCCCGGAUAUUCCAUCACGAAACAUUAGAACUAUCAGUCUAUCACCAAACUAUACCUCUCCAUUGUGCUCUGUUUGUGAAGUUGAAUAUGGAGAAAACCGUAGAUACUCACAAAAACACAUCAUCAAAUCAAACUCUCCACCCUAACCAGAAUGACUGCCAUUGGUACGAGGAAAUCAUCGAUGAUGAUCUCAAGUGGUCUUUAGCCCUCAACAGUGUUCUCCAUCAAGGAACUAGUGAGUACCAAGACAUUGCUCUCUUAGACACCAAACGGUUUGGAAAGGUUCAUUUUCUUCAACAACUUUAUCAUAUGAAAUAAAAAUUCUGAAGUUUCUUUUUCUUUUGUUGUCAAAAAGAAAAAGAUAUCAUCGUUCAAUAAGAAAAUAUAAGAUUUCCUAAAUAUAAACUAUAGACGUACUGUAUAUGUUUCUAAUGACAUAAAUCAAUUAUAGGUAGACGAUU